RNAcentral lists this ribosomal RNA (330 nucleotides) under uncultured bacterium. RNAcentral's name for it is "bacterial SSU rRNA". It matches the Rfam family "Bacterial small subunit ribosomal RNA", at positions 28 to 343 of the family's 1533-position model. The record is from RNAcentral.
GAUGAACGCUAGCGACAGGCUUAACACAUGCAAGUCGAGGGGCAGCAUGAUUUAACUUCGGUUAAAUUGAUGGCGACCGGCGCACGGGUGCGUAACACGUAUGCAACCUACCUUAUACAGGGGGAUAGCCCAUGGAAACGUGGAUUAAUACCCCAUAGUACUUUAUAUUCGCAUGAAUGUAGGGUUAAAGUCUUCGGAUGGUAUAAGAUGGGCAUGCGUCCCAUUAGAUAGUUGGUGAGGUAACGGCUCACCAAGUCAAUGAUGGGUAGGGGUUCUGAGAGGAAGGUCCCCCACACUGGAACUGAGACACGGUCCAGACUCUUGGUUACG